AGCUUUGCACAGUGGCAGUAUCAUAACCAAUGAGGUUUAUCCGAGGUGCGAUUAUUGCUUAUUGAAAAACAUGCUUCAAACCC
This is a small nuclear RNA of Fukomys damarensis (Damara mole-rat), 83 nucleotides long. Its record names the gene U4. It matches the Rfam family "U4 spliceosomal RNA". From Rfam's summary of the family: U4 small nuclear RNA (U4 snRNA) is a component of the major U2-dependent spliceosome. The structure of U4 snRNA from yeast and human has been reported. U4 snRNA presents a k-turn RNA motif in the 5p-SL related to recognition of Snu13 protein. The record is from Ensembl. NCBI's taxonomy places the organism in Eukaryota, Metazoa, Chordata, Mammalia, Rodentia, Bathyergidae.